RNAcentral lists this unclassified non-coding RNA (200 nucleotides) under soil metagenome. RNAcentral's name for it is "partial contains 5.8S ribosomal RNA, internal transcribed spacer 2, and large subunit ribosomal RNA". The record is from RNAcentral.
UCCGGAGGGCAUGCCUGUUUGAGUGUCAUGAAAACAUCACCACCGGGGUUUCCCGGCGUGUGGAAUUGGACGUCUGCCUCCCGGCUCGUCUUAAAGAUAUUAGCGAUGCGACGUGAUAAGUUUCGUCCCCCAUCGCUCAUAGAAAACCAUAACACUCUUGCUCUGACCUCAAAUCAGGUAGGACUACCCGCUGAACUUAA